Molecule: unclassified non-coding RNA, 213 nt
Filed under: uncultured fungus
Lineage: Eukaryota; Fungi
Description: sequence contains ITS1
Source: RNAcentral
AAAGAGAUAUUUUCAUAUGGUAGAAAUACCUGAGAAAAUUCCCAACCCUUGUUUAUACAAAACAAAAAUCGUUGCUUCGGCGAGUAAAAGAAUACUAAGCCUUAAAAAAACUUUUUAUUCUUCGCCAGAAGACCUUAUAACCAAACUCUGAAUAAAACAAUUGUCUGACAAAUUUUGAUAAUGGCUUCAAAAACCAUUGACUAAAUAAAAUUA